UGGUGAUGAUGAUGCAUUUAAGGCUUGUUUCUCAUAACAUUCGCAGUUGCCGCCUAAGAACUUUCGCCUUGCCAGGCUUGAGAGUUGAUGCUGCUAAUUCCUUCCUUGGAUGUCUGAGCCA
This 121-nucleotide small nucleolar RNA is filed under the name Brachypodium distachyon (stiff brome). RNAcentral describes it as "snoRNA SNORD14". It matches the Rfam family "Small nucleolar RNA SNORD14". From Rfam's summary of the family: U14 small nucleolar RNA (U14 snoRNA) is required for early cleavages of eukaryotic precursor rRNAs. In yeasts, this molecule possess a stem-loop region (known as the Y-domain) which is essential for function. Lineage: Eukaryota; Viridiplantae; Streptophyta; Magnoliopsida; Poales; Poaceae. The record is from Rfam by way of RNAcentral.